RNAcentral lists this ribosomal RNA (379 nucleotides) under uncultured eukaryote. RNAcentral's name for it is "SSU rRNA". It matches the Rfam family "Eukaryotic small subunit ribosomal RNA", at positions 587 to 972 of the family's 1831-position model. The record is from RNAcentral.
AGCUCUGUAAGCGUAUACCCAAGUUGUUGCAGUUAAAACGCUCGUAGUCGGAGGUUGGCGGGCGAGCCGGGGCGUCUUCGCGGACGGACCUGGAUCGGCCGCCUUUGUGGAGGGGGGCUCAAGGCCGCUUGAGUGCGGGCUUGUAGUCGCUGCCACCGUUUACUGUGAAAAAAUUAGAGUGUUCAAAGCGGGCGUUUGCCAUGAAUACCUUAGCAUGGAAUAAUAGAAUAGGACCUGUUGUCCUGUUUUGUUGGUUUGUGAGGACCGGGUAAUGAUUAAGAGGGACGGUUGGGGGCAUUUGUAUUCCGGCGUCAGAGGUGAAAUUCUUGGAUUGUCGGAAGACAAACGGCUGCGAAAGCGUCUGCCAAGGACGUUUUCA